Molecule: long non-coding RNA, 636 nt
Filed under: Parus major (Great Tit)
Lineage: Eukaryota; Metazoa; Chordata; Aves; Passeriformes; Paridae
Description: lncRNA (ENSPMJG00000019444.1)
Source: RNAcentral
CUGGUGGAGCUUCAUGUUUUUUAUGUCCCAGCAGAAGUGUGGAACUUCAAGCUGAAUACAGUUCCUGUAGCUCUUACUAGCAAAUUUGUCUCAGCGGGAUUUAUAAGGGUGUCUCCUCACAUCACAUUAAGAGUGCUGUGGGAGAGGCUUGGAGAGUACCUGGGUGGAGUGACAAAUGCAGAUAAAUUCAGAUUUUUGAAAUGCACUGGGAAAAAACUAGCAGUGAUUGAAGUGGAUCUGAUGGAUCUCUCUUCAUGCCAAGUCAUUCAAAUCCUGCAGAUCAGGAGACUGGAAAGUGUGACCUGGUAUUCCAGACCUCUGACCUCUGAUCUCAGCCCAGAUCAAGAAGACUGCAAUGCUCCAAAGUGGAAUGGCAAAACCAAAGGAACUGCUCUUUCUCAUGUAAACGCCAGUGACAAACAAAGCCAGGAACUAGGAAACAUGGAAAAUAAUGAGUACCAAAAAGAUACCAAAUUAAGAAGAGACAGAACACAGGAUGCUGAAAUUCUUAAAAUAAUGGAAGACCAAACUACAGAUUAUGUCCACAAAAAACAAAGGUUAGCAAAAAAUAUAUCUUCUAAAAUAAUGGAUAAUAUUAAUUCACUGAUACAAACUUACUUUAUAGACUUAAAAUAA